CAGAGAUUUAUCUUGACAAACCGUUUGGAAUUGCUGGGGGGAGUAUUAAUAAAAUUUGAACACGCGUCCUACAGCAGUGAAGAGAAUACCUGAGAAGUUUGAAAGCUUUCGUGGGAGAUUAGAGGCGGCCGUGAGGAAAUGUGCUACCCGGUGAACCUGAGAAAAUGGACAGCACUGUUGGGGGCUUGUGAGUUCCUGUCACAGUACUGAGCUUGAACAAUUUCGAUUAAAGCCCCAUGUUUGAGACUGUCAUUAGACCUGCAUUAAAUUACAUAUCUGGAGUGUUAAAAAAUAAAGAGUACAGUAGCUUUUUCUCAGCUACCUAAGGAAGAAACAAGGAAUGGACUUAGAAGGCCUCAUGUUGAUAUUUACCUGCCAAGACAUCUUAACUCUGCUGACUCUCCAGAGAGACCCAUUUGUACAUUUACAUUUAAAAACAGGCCUUCAGUAUAAUUUCCCACUAUUCCUUUCCUUCAUCUUAGUCCUCUGCUGUUCACAUGGGAGGACAGAAUCUGGGCCAGAUAUAUGUAGAAAGAGGGCUAGGAAAAACGAGAAGAGGAACUGACUCGGCCAGGAAAGGGAACAAUAUGUUGCUGCUGAUGCGGGUGAUGAUGAUACAACCCAGCAGAAGAUGAACUUCUUCCUGAAGAUGGAGAGACUACUCCUGGUCUACGAUAAGGGAAACCCUGUUUUUCGCUGGAACAUCUCUCCUAAACUUUUGUCAUCAGUGGCGGAGCUGAGAGUAGAACCUAGACCUUCUGUCACAGAAGAAUGCUGUGUAUACGGAAUCAUGGGAUCGGGGUUUUUUUAUUCAGCAUAAUUCUCUGGAGAUUUAUUCAGGCACAUUUUCCAUGGUCUGCUGAGGAGUAAUCAUACUCCAGAAAGCUUUAAAAAAAGAAGACUAAGAAAUAGAUAGAAGAGGAUUGGGGUAGAAGAGACACUUCAAGGUUUUGGCACAAGGUGGAUGCUUAACUGAUGACAGGAGAAAUGCAGAAAUUAGGAGAGCCUGGAGAUGGACAGCAAAUGUUGAUGGGCCAGUUCCUGAGUGAGAUCUUCAUUCUCAAGAGGAUUACAGCCCAUAAGCAGAGAGGCAUUAUAAUACAGUAUAUAGUAAUUGCAUCAUUAAUGAACUACAUAAGAAGGAAAACUCCAUCAAUGUGUACAAAACUGGGAAGAUAAUGUUUUUAACAAUAGGAGAAGAAUACAACAUGUAUAUGAUUAGCUAUUAUGUCAAGAUCCAAAGGCUGAAUCAAAAAAUAGGAAGUCAUCAGCUGAAAAAAAGGAGAAGAAGAAGAAGACGACAGAAAGAACCCAACCAUUUUAAUUUUCUUGCUAGAUUUUUCCUUUCCCCACACUAUUUGGUGCUUCCUCCUAUUUUAAAAGUCUCAGAGUUGAAAGGUUCCUUCCUGAUUCUUGGAUUUUACUUAGAGAAAUUCUUUACCAAACUCCCAGGCUUCCGAGACUCCCCCACAUGAAGGCAAGAUACCAUGUCUCCUAGAGAGGAAUGAAAAGGGGUUAUAUUUAGAAUUUUUUUUUUAAUGUCAAAAUUGUUAGGCAGUGAGGAAAAGGAAAAUAGGAGACAAGGAGGGAAACGAGUGUGAGGAGAGAAUACUCAGGGCACCCUGCCCUGUAGGAGGUCAAGAGGUUUCUCCAUCUUUGCUGAAUUCACCCUUGGCAGAGCUUGCCAUCCAGAGCUUAACCUGUGAGCUUGGGCUAGGUGGGCUUGUCUCGCCUGAAGCAGAAGCCAGUCCUGCUGGGCCUACUGAAACGAAUUCUUAAAAUCAUAAGGGAAAAAUUGGAUUUGAGAGAGUCUGUUUGACAAGAACCGGAGUCCUGUAAAUGAAUUUUCUUAGAUCUAUAGGCAGAGGAAGGUGGGAGGAGGAGAUAGUAUUUUCUCUCUGACCUUACCAAACCAGUAAAUACAGUUAUAGAAAAGGCUCAGAUACCUCUCACUCAUCUCUUUUAAAGUCUUAGCUGAUAACAGCUAAUAAAAUUAAGAACCACCAACCUUCAGUGCUACUUUUGAAUCGAAUGAAGAAAUAUUCUCAAUGACCAAGGGUCCUUAGAAGCCCCCAAAGAAUUUCUCUUUAAGAAUAAAGCUUCAAGGUUGUGGAGCUAUUUUCAGCCAAAAUAUUUUUCUUUUGACUGUCAAAGAACAUCACCCAAAUAGACUAACCAGCCGACAUAAUUAUCCUUAACAUCUUCCAUUAUCAUGCUCACCAGUCUUCGAGCUCUAUAGUUUUGAAGCUAUGUUGCAUGCUUUCCAAUAAUCACCUCACCGUAUCAUGUUAUCAUGCCCAUAUUGCUGAUGAAGAAACACACAGGAGAGGCAGAGGGAGAAACAGGCUCGAAGCAGGGAGACCAAUGUGGGAUUCGAUUCCAGGGCCCUGGGAUCACAACCUGAGCCAAAGGCAGAUCCCCAACCACUGAGCCAUCCAGGUGCCCCAGUUUUAGAGUUUUAAAGUAAACUUGGUCCAAAUCUCACAGUAGGAAACCAACAUUUAUUGAGAGGUGACUAUCAGCCAGGGAGGGACUGGGCCCUGAGCUUUCAAACCUCUCAGAUUGAUUUUAUUUUUCCCAUUCUACAUGAGGAGAAACUAAUGCUCUAAGUAGUUGCCCAAGGUCAUCCUGUGUUUAAUGUAAAUGCUCCAAUUAUCCUCAAUUUUAAACCAAAUACAAUCUCUCCCAAGGAAUUUGAAGUGUAGAAGACCUGUUCCCUUCCCAAUAGAUAUCUGCUGCUUUUCUUCCCUGUGAGUUCAUAUCUUGGGUAAAAACCUCUAGAGGCUCCUACCUAUCCUUUUGGUCAAAGUUAGUAAUUGAAAUCUCAUUAUUUUAACCAGAAAAUGGUCUAAAGAUGGGCAUAUAUCUGACUCACUUCUGGCCUUCAAGAUAUAAUUAGAAACCUGCCAACGAGGACAGUACUCCAGGAAUAAAAAUACAAAGCUUCAAGAGGACAAGACCUUGCCAUUCUUGCGUCUGGAAAGCAGAAGUAAAGCCUGGAGCUGCAGCAGCCAUCUUAUAAUCAUAAGGCAAUAGCCAUAGGACACAAGUCCCAAUACCAGCACACAGAAGAUGAUGGAGUGCAAAGAGAUAAAACACCUGUGUUCAUAAGGACAGUUUCAAGCUGUUGCACUGAACUUAGACUACCUAAAUCUGCUUGUAGGUUUUGUUUGCUUGUGUAUUUAUUUGCAGCUAAAGACAUUCUUAACUGAGACGCUGGGCCCAUAGUCUUGCCUGUAGCUGUGGAACAGAGCAAAGGUGGUAUCCACCAAAAAAAAAAAAAAAAUCCUAGAGUUUACUUCUAGUAAUCAGUAUUUUUCAGCUUUUUUUUUCUCAGAGUACUCUCUUGUAUAGAGUCAUAGCUGAAAAGCAAUGGUGAAAAGCCACACCACUGAUAAUACCUAACUGCCAGUGAAAUCUAAGGUAAAACAGAAAGUAAACUGCCACCAAGAGCCCUUGAUCAAGCACUACAUAUGCAGUAUGAUGAGAAAAAGAAUUAAUUACAUGCAGUACCUUUAGUUGAGCACUUACCUUACCCAAUGCCACACUUAGCAUUUUAUAUUCACUAUCUAAUUUAAAUAUCGCUCUAGGUGACAGUUAUAUCAAAAAUAUUUUAAAAGCAAGGAAAUAAAAACUUUAAAAGAAUAGUUGGGCCAACCACAGACAUAUAGCUGGAAAGUGGCCCAGCCAGGGUUCCAAUCCAGGUCUUUUAUUACCAUAAAAGGUACAGAUUUUGUCACACUACCUGAAAGCAGAGUACCCCGAUGAAUCCUUUGGUAGGCUAAAAUGGCAUAAAGCAAAGAGAUAAUUACCAUUGACUUAUAUGGAAAACUUUCCGAGCAUUCCCAGAUCCCCAAAAUAACCUCUCUCAGACUUUUCUGAUACCCUAGGAUGCGUCUUGCUAAUGGAUGCACAAAGUAAACUGAGAUAUAGCACAAAUGUGCACAGACACAGUGCAAAGCCACAGGGGCUUGGUGGCUUGAUGCGGGUGAUGCUGAGUGUGGGGUAGGGGUGGGGCAGAAGCUGGGAUUGGGAGGGGCCACUCUUGCCCCUGGAGGGCCCCUCUGCUGCCAUAAUGACUCACUGCAGAACAAAUGCUCAUGCUAUUUCCAACUUUUUGCCCUUUUGCACUGAGGCAAAACUCCUUUUUGGAUUCCUUUUGGUUAGCAAACAGGGGAAGUACUAAGGUAGGACUUUCAUUAAAGUGAAGUGGAAUAACUCAAACUUUGCAAAAAGUGGCAAAUACCCUUAUUUGGUGUUUUUAAAACAAUCGAGUGGAAUGACUGCCCAGCCUGGGGUAGAGUGUUUCACUUCUUUGCUGAUGAGCUGAAUGAACUGUGAACACCUUUGCAAACCAAGUCCAUCACUUGGUUGUUCCACUGAGGUGCCAUUUCCAUGUAAACUGUGUGCAUUGCCACAUUUGAAUCCUAUGGAUCAGUUUUCCUUUUGGUGUCUCUUUCUCCUUAGGACUAGCAUAAUUCACAUCAACUCAGAGAGCCUUUUAGACUCUGCUCCGGGGACAUAAUACUGACCUACAGACAUUCCAUGUCUUCAAGUUGUUUUUAGUCUGCCGGCAGGAAAAAAACAUGUACAUGGGUAGAGUGCCUGGCCCACUGGGAAUGAUCAAUAGAUGGUGCCCAAAUAAGCAAAUACCUGGAAUAAAUGAAUAAAUGUCAAA
This is a long non-coding RNA of Canis lupus familiaris (dog), 4678 nucleotides long. RefSeq lists it as uncharacterized. The record is from RefSeq and is a predicted model, not a curated record. Lineage: Eukaryota; Metazoa; Chordata; Mammalia; Carnivora; Canidae. The transcript is spliced from 11 exons.